GAUGAACGCUGGCGGCGUGCCUAAUACAUGCCAGUCGAGCGAACAGACGAGGAGCUUGCUCCUCUGACGUUAGCGGCGGACGGGUGAGUAACACGUGGAUAACCUACCUAUAAGACUGGGAUAACUUCGGGAAACCGGAGCUAAUACCGGGUAAUAUAUUGAACCGCAUGGUUCAAUAGUGAAAGACGGUUUUGCUGUCACUUAUAGAUGGAUCCGCGCCGCAUUAGCUAGUUGGUAAGGUAACGGCUUACCAAGGCGACGAUGCGUAGCCGACCUGAGAGGGUGAUCGGCCACACUGGAACUGAGACACGGUCCAGACUCCUACGGGAGGCAGCAGUAGGGAAUCUUCCGCAAUGGGCGAAAGCCUGACGGAGCAACGCCGCGUGAGUGAUGAAGGUCUUCGGAUCGUAAAACUCUGUUAUUAGGGGAGAACAAAUGUGUAAGUAACUAUGCACGUCUUGACGGUACCUAAUCAGAAAGCCACGGCUAACUACGUG
This 497-nucleotide ribosomal RNA is filed under the name uncultured bacterium. RNAcentral describes it as "partial 16S ribosomal RNA". It matches the Rfam family "Bacterial small subunit ribosomal RNA", at positions 28 to 507 of the family's 1533-position model. The record is from RNAcentral.